UACAGAGGGGGCAAGCGUUAUUCGGAAUUAUUGGGCGUAAAGCGCGCGUAGGCGGCCACUUAAGUCGGAUGUGAAAGCCCCUGGCUCAACUGGGGAAGUGCACCCGAAACUGAAUGGCUUGAGUGCGAAAGAGGGUCGCGGAAUUCCCGGUGUAGAGGUGAAAUUCGUAGAUAUCGGGAGGAACACCGGGGGCGAAGGCGGCGACCUGGGUCGACACCGACGCUGAGGCCCGAAAGCGUGGGGAGCAAACAGG
RNAcentral lists this ribosomal RNA (253 nucleotides) under uncultured bacterium. RNAcentral's name for it is "partial 16S ribosomal RNA". It matches the Rfam family "Bacterial small subunit ribosomal RNA", at positions 524 to 776 of the family's 1533-position model. The record is from RNAcentral.